RNAcentral lists this long non-coding RNA (449 nucleotides) under Homo sapiens (human). Its description in RNAcentral is "HSALNT0291452". The record is from RNAcentral. Lineage: Eukaryota; Metazoa; Chordata; Mammalia; Primates; Hominidae.
AAAACAAACAACAACAACAACAACAAAAAGGACAUCUUUCACAUUUGUCCCUUUUGAUCAAGAUCUGGCAGAUCCAAGAACCUUUAAACUCUCUGCAGGCAGGAACAAUCCAGCAGGAAGAUCACUGAGCCAGGACUGAGGUGAUUUCUCAUCCCAGGUUUACCACUGACGUGUCAUGGGUCUUGAGUUCCUGUCCAAAUGGGAAAAAACAGUGCACUUGGACUUCAGAGUCAAGGGAGCUAUAUUUGAGCCAGAGUUCUACUAUGGCAGGGGUCCCCAGCUCCUGGGCCAUGGACUGGUACCAGUCCGUGGCCUGUUAGGAACCGGACCACACAGCAAGAGGUGAGCAGCGGGCAAGCAGGCAAGCGAGCCAAACUUCAUCUAUAUUUUCAGCUGCUCCCCAUCACUUGAAUUAUCAUUGCCUGAGCUCCGCCUCCUGUCAGAUCAGC